CCUACGGGAGGCAGCAGUGGGGAAUCUUGCGCAAUGGGCGAAAGCCUGACGCAGCAACGCCGCGUGCGGGAAGAAGGCUUUCGGGCUGUAAACCGCUUUCAGCAGGAACGAAAAUGACGGUACCUGCAGAAGAAGGAGCGGCCAACUAUGUGCCAGCAGCCGCGGUGAUACAUAGGCUUCAAGCGUUGUCCGGAUUUAUUGGGCGUAAAGAGUUCGUAGGCGGUCGAGUAAGUCGGGUGUGAAAAUUCUGGGCUCAACCCAGAGACGCCACCCGAUACUGCUUGACUUGAGUUCGAUAGGGGAGUGGGGAAUUCCUAGUGUAGCGGUGAAAUGCGCAGAUAUUAGGAGGAACACCGGUGGCGAAGGCGCCACUCUGGAUCGAUACUGACGCUGAGGAACGAAAGCAUGGGUAGCAAACAGGAUUAGAUACCCUGGUAGUCCAUGCCGUAAACGGUGGGCACUAGGUGUGGGUUUCUAUUAACGAAAUCCGCGCCGUCGCUAACGCAUAGUGCCGCCGUGGGUAGGUACGGUCGCAGACUAAACUACAAUAGAGUUAGACGGCGUGAGACGUGCCGACGGACGACGACGAGGGAGGUAGG
Molecule: ribosomal RNA, 599 nt
Filed under: uncultured bacterium
Lineage: Bacteria
Description: bacterial SSU rRNA
Rfam family: Bacterial small subunit ribosomal RNA (bases 1-516)
Source: RNAcentral